Molecule: ribosomal RNA, 492 nt
Filed under: uncultured bacterium
Lineage: Bacteria
Description: partial 16S ribosomal RNA
Rfam family: Bacterial small subunit ribosomal RNA
Source: RNAcentral
AGUGAACGCUGGCGGUAGGCCUAACACAUGCCAGUCGAACGGCAGCACAGUAAGAGCUUGCUCUUACGGGUGGCGAGUGGCGGACGGGUGAGGAAUACAUCGGAAUCUACUUUUUCGUGGGGGAUAACGUAGGGAAACUUACGCUAAUACCGCAUACGACCUACGGGUGAAAGCAGGGGAUCUUCGGACCUUGCGCGAUUGAAUGAGCCGAGGUCGGAUUAGCUAGUUGGCGGGGUAAAGGCCCACCAAGGCGACGAUCCGUAGCUGGUCUGAGGGGAUGUACAGGGACAGUGGGAGUGAGCGGCGGUACAGAGUCCGAGAGGCGGCAGCGGUGGGGAAUGGUGGACGAUGGGGGGAAGCCUGCACAAGGGAUAGAGCGCGGGUGAAGAAGGGCUUCGGGUUGUAAGGCCGUUUUGUGGGGGAAGAACGGCAGCAGGAUAAGCGCCGGCUGUGCUGACGGUACCUAAAGAAGAAGCACCGGCUAACUUCGUG